This 115-nucleotide ribosomal RNA is filed under the name Pteropus alecto (black flying fox). The record is from RNAcentral. Lineage: Eukaryota; Metazoa; Chordata; Mammalia; Chiroptera; Pteropodidae.
GUCUACAGCCAUGCCACCUUGAAAAAGCCCAAUGUCUAUCUCAGAAGCUAAAUAGGGUCAGGCCUGGUUAGUACGUGGAUGGGAGACUACCUAGGAAGACCAGGUGCUGUAGGCA